Molecule: long non-coding RNA, 356 nt
Organism: Dromaius novaehollandiae (emu)
Lineage: Eukaryota; Metazoa; Chordata; Aves; Casuariiformes; Dromaiidae
Exons: 3
Source: RefSeq, a predicted model, not a curated record
GGUGGUUCAUUUUGGUCGUUGCCUGUGAGGCCAGCAUCCAAGAGUAAGAGGAAGCUAGGAGCAGUCUCAAAAAGAGAUGGAACCAAGGACAGCAAAUGCUGACGAAGAGAAGAGACGGACAAGCGUUUGCUUGUGGUUAAUACCGAAGGGACGGGAUGAAACAAGGAAGCCAGAAUGCAGCGGCCCCUCGAUAUCACCAGGAACUGCUACAGGAGGAGGCGUUCUGGCACGGGUAACUAAGCUCUCCGAGCUGAAUCCUAGCCCUGAAGGAAAAAGCACUGGGGGGAGGCUACUUGGACAUCUGCCACGUCGAGGGCAGGGGCAGGAGCUGACCCUUCCCCGACGGACGGACGGAC